Molecule: ribosomal RNA, 302 nt
Filed under: uncultured bacterium
Lineage: Bacteria
Description: partial 16S ribosomal RNA
Rfam family: Bacterial small subunit ribosomal RNA
Source: RNAcentral
GCAGUAGCCGCGGGAAUACGUAGGGUGCAAGCGUUAAUCGGAAUUAUUGGGCGUAAAGCGAGUGCAGACGGUUACUUAAGCCAGAUGUGAAAUCCCCAAGCUUAACUUGGGACGUGCAUUUGAAACUGGGUGACUAGAGUGUGUCAGAGGGAGGUAGAAUUCCACAUGUAGCGGUGGAAUGCGUAGAGAUGUGGAGGAAUACCGAUGGCGAAGGCAGCCUCCUGGGAUAACACUGACGUUGAGGCUCGAAAGCGUGGGGAGCAAACAGGAUUAGAUACCCCCGUAGUCCCUGUCUCUUAUAC